This 1221-nucleotide long non-coding RNA is filed under the name Ficedula albicollis (Collared flycatcher). Its description in RNAcentral is "lncRNA (ENSFALG00000027884.1)". The record is from RNAcentral. Lineage: Eukaryota; Metazoa; Chordata; Aves; Passeriformes; Muscicapidae.
AUGCAGGGACUUGCUACAGGCAGAAGCAAUAGGGAAAAAUCCUUCAUUUCAACUUGUUUACAUGUUGGGAGUUGUGUAGAGAGCGAAGGACCCAGCUGUGUGUCUGGCACCUGGACAAAGCAGCUGCUGAGUGUGACUGUCCCUGACUGGGACAGAGCCCAGGCAGGCUGGGUGGCACUGGUGGGUCCCUCUGCCCAGACCCUGCUGCUUCUGGGGACAGCAGAGCUAGGGGCAGCAAUCCCUGUGGAUGGGGUCUCAGCUGGGGUCGGGGAGCACCUUCACCCCCUUCCCAGGGCAGUGACCCCUCUCUGUCCUGGCAGCACUGGAACUGUGUCCCUUGGUGGCUGCUGUGCCCCUGUGUCCCUGGCAUGGGCUGCCUGUGUCAUUCUGGGGGCAGAGGAGCUGCAGGGGUUUGGUUCCUGUCAGAGCCAGGUCCUCUGUACCCUGCUGGGCUCAGGGUUUGGGGACAGCUGUGUGUCCCCUCGUGUCCUGCUCAGCUGUCCCAGCCUGUGGGCAGGAGUGUGGGCUGGGCUGUGUUCAGGACAGGGAUGUCCUGGCCUGGUGAGCUGUCCCCAUCCCACUGCUGCCCCUGGGAGCAGGGAGGUGCCUUCUCUGCCAGGCUCUCUGGGAGUGACCAGGAGAAGUGGGGCUGUAAGACUCCUGUUACUGCUGAGCCCAUCUGUGUUUCCUCUGGCAGCCUGUUCCUUACCCCAGGUUUUGGGGAUGCAGCUCCCUGCUGCUCCCCCAGUGCCCCACAUCCAGCUCUGCUCCUUCCCUGCCUUGGGACACCUUGGCCUGUCCCAUGUCCCACUGCCUGCAGGAAUCAGUGCUGUUCCUGCCCAGGCUGUGGGAGAGACAGAGCUCAGUUCCUCCCAGCUGGGGAGGGAAGGUUUGUUCUGCUUCUGCCUCUUUCCCAUGUUUAUCCCCCAUUUAUCUUCACCCCUGGCUGCAGCGGUGGAAUGUCCCUGGAGCAGCAGUCAGCUCUCAGAUCUGGCUCUUGCCUCUCACCUGUUGCUCAGCAGGCAGCCCCUGCUUCCCAGCCCUCCCAGAGCAGCUCCUUCCCUGGAAAAGCCAGGCCAUUCUACCAUGGUCAUGCUGUGCUGGUGUCCUGCUUGUGGAGCUGCUUGGCUCAAUCCAUCUCCUGAGGCUGGGGCAGGCAGGAAUCCUGCCAGGGACCUCCAUCAUCUCCCCUUCCUUUCCCCAGGGUCCAGCCUAAACUGA